RNAcentral lists this ribosomal RNA (651 nucleotides) under Asarum nanchuanense. RNAcentral describes it as "eukaryotic LSU rRNA". The stretch from base 262 to 417 matches the Rfam family "5.8S ribosomal RNA". The record is from RNAcentral. Lineage: Eukaryota; Viridiplantae; Streptophyta; Magnoliopsida; Piperales; Asaraceae.
UUGUCGAUACCUAUCAAUCAGAUUGACCAUGCGAACUCGUGAUGCCCAACUAUCGGGGGCGGUGUUCAACCAACCCCGUCCCUUUGCGCUGCGGGAUGCUCUUGUCUCAAGCCUUGAGCAAUCAGGUUUGUUGACGGUACAUUCAGCGGCUGACUUAGGGAGGCCGAACAACAACUCGGCGCGGUUAGCGCCAAGGAUUUGGAAUUACAUGUGUGCCAUUCUCAUUCGUGGGUCUGUCGCUACAUCAAUCUAAUAAAUCACGACUCUCGGCAACGGAUAUCUUGGCUCUUGCAUCGAUGAAGAACGUAGCGAAAUGCGAUACUUGGUGUGAAUUGCAGAAUCCCGUGAACCAUCGAGUCUUUGAACGCAAGUUGCGCCCGAGACCUUUAGGUUGAGGGCACACCUGCUUGGGCGUCAUGCUAUGCGUCGCUCCCACAUCCAUCUCGGAUAUAGGACGCGGAGAUUGGCUAUCCGUUCAAAUCCUUGCGCGGUUUGCCUAAAAUUUGGACCUACGGUGGACUGCGACACGUCCAGUGGUGGUUGUUGGCUUAUCAAGCCGCGAUUGACAGAAGGACGUGUCGAUGCCCCGCCUCAAAGGUUUGCCUUCGGAACCCAAGUCGGGGGUCUUUUGACUUUCGAACAGCGACCCCA